RNAcentral lists this ribosomal RNA (262 nucleotides) under uncultured archaeon. RNAcentral's name for it is "partial 16S ribosomal RNA". It matches the Rfam family "Archaeal small subunit ribosomal RNA", at positions 748 to 1009 of the family's 1478-position model. The record is from RNAcentral.
UAGCCGUAAACGAUACUCGCUAGGUGUCGGCCACGGUGCGACCGUUGUCGGUGCCGUAGGGAAGCCGUGAAGCGAGCCACCUGGGAAGUACGGCCGCAAGGCUGAAACUUAAAGGAAUUGGCGGGGGAGCACAACAACGGGUGGAGCUUGCGGUUUAAUUGGAUUCAACGCCGGAAAUCUUACCGGGACCGACAGCAACAUGAAGGCCGAAGCUGAAGACUUUGCCGGAUUAGCUGAGAGGUGGUGCAUGGCGUAGUCGUGU